CCCCUUCCGCAUUAACUUCCACAUUUCGCGUCAACUACGCCAUCGUCGUCUCCCUCUGCAGUGAGUUAUCUCUCACCGGUUCCCCAUUUGCACUGAUACUUUUUGCUUUCAUUUUCGCCCUGGUUGCUCCUCUACUUUUUCAGAGAAGACCCGCUGGUCUCAUGGGUCUGAUUGAUCGUAUGGUUUUGGUAGGUCUGGUUUUGGUCUCAAUUAUAGCGAUUUGAGUUGCUUCUAGAGGAUCGUGUUCCUUUCAAAGUCCUUGAUUCAACUCAGCAACUGUAAAUUUUCUCUAUAAUGUUUGAGUUUUGAUGCUUUAGCUAUUUCCUAAAUCUGUUCUUACAUAUUGUUUUGUUUUGGUAUCAAAUUAUAUGAAAUCCAGAACCUUGUGGGCUGUCAUUGUUAGAUUUAGACCACACACCCUCCAGUACCCUCC
This 433-nucleotide long non-coding RNA is filed under the name Manihot esculenta (cassava). RNAcentral's name for it is "long non-coding RNA (MESC_LNC003151)". Lineage: Eukaryota; Viridiplantae; Streptophyta; Magnoliopsida; Malpighiales; Euphorbiaceae. The record is from RNAcentral.